Molecule: unclassified non-coding RNA, 250 nt
Filed under: Melitaea cinxia (Glanville fritillary)
Lineage: Eukaryota; Metazoa; Arthropoda; Insecta; Lepidoptera; Nymphalidae
Description: misc RNA ENSMCXG00005018999.1
Source: RNAcentral
GUAGUCACAUUUGUUGAAUAGAGUAAAUUCUACGUGAUUGAAUCUCUAAUUUAAAAAUAAGUGAUUAGUGAUUAACUUGGGACUUAAAUAAUCAAAAAUAAUAAGAUGUCACAGCAGAGUGAAGGUCGAAGGACAAUUCGCCAUAUCCGGAAUUACGUCAGACGCCACCAAAUUUAAUUAUGUCAUCGUACACCUGGACCCGCAGUAUGCAAAGGAGGUGAAAGACAUUAUUAUAGCUCCUCCAGUGGAC